CCCUAGCCCCGAUAGAAAUGAAAAUCCUUUUUUGAAAAAAAAGAUUGAAAUGGAAAGCGGGAAAUAGC
Molecule: non-coding RNA, 68 nt
Organism: Chryseobacterium sp.
Lineage: Bacteria; Pseudomonadati; Bacteroidota; Flavobacteriia; Flavobacteriales; Weeksellaceae
Source: Rfam